Prionailurus viverrinus (fishing cat) is the source of this 169-nucleotide long non-coding RNA. RefSeq lists it as uncharacterized. The transcript is spliced from 2 exons. The record is from RefSeq and is a predicted model, not a curated record. Lineage: Eukaryota; Metazoa; Chordata; Mammalia; Carnivora; Felidae.
CUCAGUCGGUUGAGCGUCUGACUUCGGCUCAGGUCAUGAUCUCGAGGUUCGUGCGUUCCAGCCCCAUGUCGGGUUCGGUGCUGACAGCUCAGAGCCUGGAGCCUGCUUCGGAUUCUGUGUCUCCCUCUCUCUCUGCCCCACUUGCGCUCGCUCUCUCUCUCUCUCUCUC